GACGAACGCUGGCGGCGUGCUUAACACAUGCAAGUCGAACGGUAAGGCCCCAGCUUGCUGGGGUACACGAGUGGCGCACGGGUGAGUCACACGUGGGAGACCUGCCCCGCACUUCGGGAUCAGCCUGGGAAACUGGGUCUAAUACCGGAUAGUUCCGCCCCGUCAGGGUGUGGUUGGGAGUUGUUCGGUGUGGGGGGGGCCCGCGGCCUCUCAGCUUGUUGGUGGGGUAGUGGUCUCCCAAGGCGGCGUCGGGUAGCCGGCCUGAGAGGGUGGACGGCGACACUGGGACGGAGACUACGCGCAGACGCAGACGGGAGGCAUCAGUGGGGGAUGCUGCACUAUGGGCGGAAGGCUGAUGCAGCGACGACGGGUGGCGGAUGACGGCCUUCGGUUUGUAAGCACCUUUGACCAUCGACGAAGGUUGUCUGACGGUAGAUGGAGAAGAAGCGCCGGCUAACUACGUG
This 464-nucleotide ribosomal RNA is filed under the name uncultured bacterium. RNAcentral's name for it is "partial 16S ribosomal RNA". It matches the Rfam family "Bacterial small subunit ribosomal RNA", at positions 28 to 507 of the family's 1533-position model. The record is from RNAcentral.